GUAGCGGGCCGGGCCCCUCUGGCGACGAAUGAUGCCUUGCACAUUCGGCGUGAUGUCGGACCGCUACG
This is a regulatory RNA element of Blastomonas sp. AAP25, 68 nucleotides long. It matches the Rfam family "terC RNA". NCBI's taxonomy places the organism in Bacteria, Pseudomonadati, Pseudomonadota, Alphaproteobacteria, Sphingomonadales, Blastomonadaceae. The record is from Rfam.